GGAGCAGAGCUUUGCAUGGGAACAUGCAGCAGUUUCAAAGGGACAGAACACUUGCUGCUUUCCGCAGCGGCCAGUUCAGUGUCCUGGUUGCUACAGAUGUUGCCGCACGUGGUCUUGAUAUUCCGAAUGUUGACCUGAUUAUUCAUUUCGAACUUCCGAAUACAAGUGAGACUUUCAUUCAUCGAUCUGGUCGAACUGGCCGUGCCGGAAACAAGGGAACGGCAGUUCUAAUGUUCAAUGAAGGUCAACGCCGUGAUGUCAGGUCCAUCGAGCGGGAUCUAAGCUGCAAAUUUGAAGAGCUGCGAGGACUUACUGGUAGUUUCGUUGGCAAGACGGACAUGUCAGAUGAUGAAGGUGGCUCUUAUAGGGGUUAUGGUGGUCCAGCCGUGCAGAACCCUGGCCAAAUGAAUCAAAAUUCUGAGCGCCGUUACGGCAAUUAUGGUGGGUCUCAACAAUCUCGUACCUCCAGAUAUUCCGGUGGAGGUGGAGACAGAUUCAGUGGAGGCGGAGAUAGAUUUAGAUACUCUGGUGGACGUGGAGACAGAUUUAGUGGUGGUGGUGGAGAUAGAUUUAGUGGCUCCGACCGAUCCAGAAAUAACUAUUCUCCUCGGAGAUCUGAGCCCAGGCAAGGUGGUUAUUCUCAGACCAGAAGAGAUCAGUAUGAAUCGUAUGACGACUUUGAGGACAACAAUUUCAGUGAGAGGCGUACAGAUUCUGGCAGCUCUCGGUGGUCUUCGUCAGCACCUACGACACCACGGCGUCAGACCAGUCGGCAACCAGGAAUGAACCGGAAAGCGCCUUCUAGAAGUGGUCCGAACGAUUAUGAUGAUUUACUUGAUUUGUUUAAGGGUCAAUACUAAAUGGAAUGAUCCAUGUAUCUACUGGUUAUGCGUAUGGUCGCACUAAUGACAGAUUAUGGGUAUUUUGAGGCAUUUGAAGUUGGUC
This 945-nucleotide unclassified non-coding RNA is filed under the name Hevea brasiliensis (rubber tree). The record is from RNAcentral. Lineage: Eukaryota; Viridiplantae; Streptophyta; Magnoliopsida; Malpighiales; Euphorbiaceae.